Chlorocebus sabaeus (green monkey) is the source of this 3694-nucleotide non-coding RNA. Lineage: Eukaryota; Metazoa; Chordata; Mammalia; Primates; Cercopithecidae. The record is from RefSeq and is a predicted model, not a curated record.
CCCGCAGAAAACGCUCCUGUCCUGGGCCGUCAAUGGCCCAGAGUCCGCGGCCGACGCAAGGGACGGUGCCUUCUGGGUAAUGCAGUUUUUCCCUUACAUCUACCGGGUGUGGGAACUCACCCAGCGCAUCCGACUCCACGGCAGUGGUGCCACAAGCCAGAUCACUGGGACCACUCAGAGAAAGGGAACACAGAAGCCUCGCAUGCCAGCAAAAGGAGUCAAGGAAACUUUUCAUUUGAGCUAUUUGCAGCUUUUACUAGUUGAAUAUACUCCUGUGAACAAAAUUUGGAAAGUAUUUGUUUCUCUCUACCUGAUUUCUCCAGAAUUUGGAAACUAGUUGGGAUCAACAAGAGACAGAGUGAGAAGGGAACACUUCAAACACAUGUCAUUUUACCCAAGACCAGGGAUAUGGAAUGGCACUGGGAAAGGCAAACAGCCAGAAGCUACAACUUUCAAUAGCGAGAACAAAGAGUGGAUGAGAAACUGACAUACGUGCUAAGGAAAGAACACAGCAUUUACCUACCCAUCACGUUUGCCAAAAUAAAGGCCAAGAAAGAGUGUAUCUGCAAGUCAAACCACUUGAAGCCUAUCUGUGAAAGAUACUAGGCAGAGGCAAGAUCCUUUCUCACAAGACUUCCUCUGUUCCCUGUCAUCACUGAAUUAAAUCCUGGCCAGUUUGUUAAGUAUUUUCACUGUGACUCCGAUUUUUUUUUUCUUGGUUACAAUGGUUUACAGGUAUAUAAGCCUUCAUCUCAAAGCUAUGGCUUAUUUUUGUUAUAGAAAAUUUUAUUUGCUUAAUGUUACAGAAACUUAAGCUAACUCAGCAUUUUUCCAUUUAAGUUACUGUGAAAAAGAGACAACACAGCAGGCCACAGACUGCUAUUCUUUGAUCUUGCAAGGUUCAUCCUUGGCUGGAGUCUGGACUUUAGGUUUCGGGAGGUUUCCCAUUGUUCCCAGUAAUGAGAAGUAGCUCCAUGUGCCUAAACUGUCUGUGCACAUGUGGCUUAUGCUGAUCACCUAUUCUUCUGGAGGUCUAGAACUGUGGUAUGUGCUAGAAAGUGAGUCCAAUAUAAACUCGCAGCAAUGGGUGCCUAAGACGACUUCCUGGAACACAUCUCACACGUGUUGUUGUGAAGUCCCAGAUGGAGCUUCAGUGAAGCACAUCCUGUGUGAUUUCAUUAAGAUUCUCGAAGAUUGUGCCUGGUUUCCUCUGGACUUGGGUCUGAGCCUUUUCCUUUUACUGAGUUUGCUCUGGAUUCUUUCGGUGUGGUAAAUUAUAGCCAUUGAGCAUGACAAAAUGCUGAGUCCUGUGAGUCUUCCCAGCAAACCACCAAAUCUGGAAGAGGUCUUAAGGACUCCAGCCGUCAUUCAUUGUGAUUUCUAAAAUUGUGUACAUAGGUCCAUAAAAGUCCAUGUAGAUUAUCUUUGAGGUCAAGGUAUGCCAUAUAUGGUGCCACCUAUAUGCACAGCUUUGUGGUAAAUGCGCUGAGGGAACUGAAAAUUGUAAUAAAAAAAAAUACCCUGCUGUGUAUGGCCAUUUACCAAAACACACAUAUAUAUUAAGGGUCUACUAAGGAACAAAAAAGAACGGGGCAGUGGUUGGACAGGGGGAUGAUAAAGGAAAAAGAAAUGGCCACAAUGUGUCUGGUUUGAGUAAUGACAGAAAUUAGGGGGAUUCACUGAUGUUCUUCAGGCAUCUCAAACACACUUAAAACCACAUGCAUGCCUUAGCCCUUCUCUACUCCUUCUCCCCACCCUUCCCACAUUUCCUCAAACCCAGACAUUCUCCGUCUUUUCUACAGUCACAAUAGCUUAUGCAGGCAUUAAAGAGUGAGUCUGGUUUAUCUCAUUUGCUUGAAGGAAUGGCCAAGAUAUACUGUCAAAUAAGAAUAGUAGAUUAUAAAUAAAUGAGCACAGUUUGACCCAUUUUAGUAAAAAUAAGUGACUAGGAAACAAAAACCUACCAUAUGAGAAGCAAUGAAGUGGUUGAGGACAUGGAUUCUGAAGCCAGUGUAAUGGCUUCCAAUCCCCAAACCCAAAUUUCCUAACUGUGAAACCUUUGACAAAUUCCUUAGACUUUCUGUCUCUCAGUUUUCUAAUCUGUUAAAGGGCAGAAAUAACUUUAUGGAGCUGUAAUAAACGUUAAAAGAGCUGAUGCAUCUAAAACAUUCAAAACAAUGUCUGAUACACAGUAAUACUUUAUGUUUGUGUUCUCUUAUGAUUAUGGGUGCAUCCCCAUGACCAAGGUCAUGGCCACAUGAUACAUGCCUAUAGGCUCAGUGAGUACAAAUACAGAAAAGGUGUGGAAGGAUGACCAAUGGGGAAUGACAUGAGAAACAUCCAACUUGGAGACACGGAUUUAGGGAAACUCUGUAGAUCAUUGAGAGUAAAGUGUCUUCAGCGUGAAUUAACUCACUCAUUGGGUGAAGGACAAGUCAGAAAACAGCAAUGAUCACGAUGGAUGCUGGGAAGUAAAGCUGUUUUAUAGACGGAAGAAAGACACAGACCCUACAAAGGAAAAAAGCCAGGAAUUCACAGAGGCCAGGAAAGGACCUUCAAGUCAGAGAUUUAGCAGUAUGGAGGUCCAAAAAGAGAGUGAGGGGGUGAAAAGGGACCUUUCUGAGACCUGCUUAAGUCAGGCAACGGUGGUGGACACCAUUUAGUAGUGUCUGGGGAGUAAAAGGAAAUGUAAAGGGGUGCGGACAGUGCACAAAACAGUUACUCAGGGCAUAUGUGUGGAAGAAAGGAAUAACCAGAACUUGAUAGGCAAGGAAGGGUGAAAUAGGUUGGAAAUGAGGCUUGAGAUCUGAAUAAAGCUAUAGAUUAUGGGAAAGAAGUUGGUUAAUAAGGAGAAGUUAAAGACUAAACAAGAGUAUGAAAGACAGAGGACACAGACAAAUUUGGUUCGGGAAGGGUGCAUGGCUCUAAUAAAAAAGUGUAAGAGUGAUUCUAGAAGAGGAAUGACCCCUUCUCCAUUGAGGAUAUAACACGGCUUACAGAGCUGGAGGAUUUUACAUACAACCUUCCCCUGGAGUAUGUAACUCUGAAUGCAUACGUAGAUCACCCUCAGUUAUAAGAUCUGUUGACAGAAAUAUUUAAGGAGUCCAAUAUAAAAGACUACAGGACUUCUACUCCUCCAGAUAAUUCAGGAUUUCUAUUCAAAUAUUGAGACAAACCACCAGAAAACCAUGACUUUGGAAUUUAGUUUUGUCUGUUUUCUGUGCCCUUUUAGUAUUAUAAACUAAGCAAAGAAAUCAAAGAUGUACAGAAGAACCAAAUGGAAAUUAAACAACUGAAAAAUACAAAAACCAAAAUGAAAAUUCACUGGACAAGCUCAACAGUAGACUGCAUAUGACAGAAAAAAAAAAGAAUCAGUGAGCUGAAAAAAAGUCAACAGAAAUUAACCAAUAUGAAAAAAAGGGAAAAACAGACCAGAAAAAGGGGGUAAACAUGAAAGCACAAGAGACCUCUAAGACAGUAACAAAAGAUCUACCAUUCAUAUCACUGGAGUUCCAGAGAGGAGAAAGAGUAGGGAUGAAAAAAUAUUUCAAGAAAUAAUGGUUAAAAAUUCCCAAAUUUGGCAAAGGGCAUAAACCUAUAGAUCAAAAAGCUGAAAAAAACCAAACAGGAUACACACUCAAAAAAAUUUCAUGUCACACAUCUCAUAACCAAACUUCUGAAUGCUACAAAAAAA